RNAcentral lists this ribosomal RNA (1483 nucleotides) under metagenome. RNAcentral describes it as "bacterial SSU rRNA". It matches the Rfam family "Bacterial small subunit ribosomal RNA". The record is from RNAcentral.
AGAGUUUGAUCCUGGCUCAGGACGAACGCUGGCGGCGUGCUUAACACAUGCAAGUCGAACGAGAAUCUGUGGAAAGAGGAUUCGUCCAAUUGAAGCAGAGGACAGUGGCGGACGGGUGAGUAACGCGUGAGGAACCUGCCUUUCAGAGGGGGACAACAGUUGGAAACGACUGCUAAUACCGCAUAACACAUAGGUGUCGCAUGGCACUUAUGUCAAAGAUUUAUCGCUGAAAGAUGGCCUCGCGUCUGAUUAGCUAGUUGGUGAGGUAACGGCCCACCAAGGCGACGAUCAGUAGCCGGACUGAGAGGUUGAACGGCCACAUUGGGACUGAGAUACGGCCCAGACUCCUACGGGAGGCAGCAGUGGGGAAUAUUGGGCAAUGGGCGCAAGCCUGACCCAGCAACGCCGCGUGAAGGAAGAAGGCUUUCGGGUUGUAAACUUCUUUUGUCAGGGACGAGUAGAAGACGGUACCUGACGAAUAAGCCACGGCUAACUACGUGCCAGCAGCCGCGGUAAUACGUAGGUGGCAAGCGUUGUCCGGAUUUACUGGGUGUAAAGGGCGUGUAGCCGGGAGGGCAAGUCAGAUGUGAAAUCCACGGGCUCAACUCGUGAACUGCAUUUGAAACUACUCUUCUUGAGUAUCGGAGAGGCAAUCGGAAUUCCUAGUGUAGCGGUGAAAUGCGUAGAUAUUAGGAGGAACACCAGUGGCGAAGGCGGAUUGCUGGACGACAACUGACGGUGAGGCGCGAAAGCGUGGGGAGCAAACAGGGUUAGAUACCCUGGUAGUCCACGCUGUAAACGAUGAAUACUAGGUGUGCGGGGACUGACCCCCUGCGUGCCGCAGCUAACGCAAUAAGUAUUCCACCUGGGGAGUACGACCGCAAGGUUGAAACUCAAAGGAAUUGACGGGGGCCCGCACAAGCAGUGGAGUAUGUGGUUUAAUUCGACGCAACGCGAAGAACCUUACCAAGUCUUGACAUCCUGCGACGAUGCUGGAAACAGUAUUUUCCUUCGGGACGCAGAGACAGGUGGUGCAUGGUUGUCGUCAGCUCGUGUCGUGAGAUGUUGGGUUAAGUCCCGCAACGAGCGCAACCCUUACUGUCAGUUACUACGCAAGAGGACUCUGGCAGGACUGCCGUUGACAAAACGGAGGAAGGUGGGGAUGACGUCAAAUCAUCAUGCCCUUUAUGACUUGGGCUACACACGUACUACAAUGGCGUUAAACAAAGAGAAGCAAGACCGCGAGGUGGAGCAAAACUCAGAAACAACGUCCCAGUUCGGACUGCAGGCUGCAACUCGCCUGCACGAAGUCGGAAUUGCUAGUAAUCGUGGAUCAGCAUGCCACGGUGAAUAUGUUCCCGGGCCUUGUACACACCGCCCGUCACACCAUGAGAGCCGGGGGGACCCGAAGUCGGUAGUCUAACCGCAAGGAGGACGCCGCCGAAGGUAAAACUGGUGAUUGGGGUGAAGUCGUAACAAGGUA